This 253-nucleotide ribosomal RNA is filed under the name uncultured bacterium. Its description in RNAcentral is "partial 16S ribosomal RNA". It matches the Rfam family "Bacterial small subunit ribosomal RNA", at positions 524 to 776 of the family's 1533-position model. The record is from RNAcentral.
UACGUAGGGUGCGAGCGUUAAUCGGAAUUACUGGGCGUAAAGUGUGCGCAGGCGGCCGCGCAAGUCGAGUGUGAAAGCCCCGAGCUUAACUUGGGAAUUACGCUCGAAACUACGUGGCUGGAGUGUGGCAGAGGAAGGUGGAAUUCCAGGUGUAGCGGUGAAAUGCGUAGAGAUCUGGAGGAACACCGAUGGCGAAGGCAGCCUUCUGGGCCAACACUGACGCUCAUGCACGAAAGCGUGGGGAGCAAACAGG